Molecule: ribosomal RNA, 648 nt
Filed under: uncultured archaeon
Lineage: Archaea
Description: bacterial SSU rRNA
Rfam family: Archaeal small subunit ribosomal RNA
Source: RNAcentral
CCGACGGUGAGAGGUGAAGCUGGGGGCGCAAACCGGAUUAGAGACCCGGGUAGUCCCAGCAGUAAACGAUGCCAGCUAUGUGUUGCUGGAACCAUGGGUUCCAGCAGUGCCGAAGGGAAGCCGUGAAGCUGGCCACCUGGGAAGUACGGUCGCAAGGCUGAAACUUAAAGGAAUUGGCGGGGGAGUACCAGAACCGGUGGAGCCUGCGGUUUAAUUGGAUACAACGCCGGGAAUCUUACCGGAGGGGACAGCAGUAUGAAGGCCAGGCUAAAGACCUUGCCAGAUCAGCUGAGAGGAGGUGCAUGGCCGUCGCCAGUUCGUACCGUGAGGCAUCCUGUUUAGUCAGGCAACGAUCGAGACCCGCAGUCUUAUUUGCCAGCAUGCCCUUUGGGGUGUAUGGGUACAAUAAGACGACCGCCAGCGCUAAGCUGGAGGAAGGAGCGGGCUACGGUAGGUCAGCAUGCCCCGAAUCCUCCGGGAUACACGCGGGCUACAAUGGUCAGGACAAAAGGUACCGACCUCGAAAGAGUGAGGUAAUCCACAAACCUGAUCUCAGUCCGGAUCGAAGGCUGCAACUCGCCUUCGUGAAGAUGGAAUCGGUAGUAAUCGUGACUCAAAAUGUCACGGUGAAUAUGUCCCUGCUCCUUG